RNAcentral lists this ribosomal RNA (551 nucleotides) under uncultured Actinomycetes bacterium. RNAcentral's name for it is "bacterial SSU rRNA". It matches the Rfam family "Bacterial small subunit ribosomal RNA", at positions 254 to 819 of the family's 1533-position model. The record is from RNAcentral. Lineage: Bacteria; Bacillati; Actinomycetota; Actinomycetes.
GGGGUAGUGGCCUACCAAGCGACGACGGGUAGCCGGCCUGAGAGGUGACCGGCCACACUGGGACUGAGACACGGCCCAGACUCCUACGGGAGGCAGCAGUGGGGAAUAUUGCGCAAUGGGCGAAAGCCUGACGCAGCGACGCCGCGUGGGGGAUGACGGCCUUCGGGUUGUAAACCUCUUUCAGCAGGGACGAAGCGCAAGUGACGGUACCUGCAGAAGAAGCACCGGCCAACUACGUGCCAGCAGCCGCGGUAAUACGUAGGGUGCAAGCGUUGUCCGGAAUUAUUGGGCGUAAAGAGCUCGUAGGCGGUUUGUUGCGUCGGCUGUGAAAUCCCGAGGCUCAACCUCGGGUCUGCAGUCGAUACGGGCGGACUUGAGUUCGGCAGGGGAGACUGGAAUUCCUGGUGUAGCGGUGAAAUGCGCAGAUAUCAGGAGGAACACCGGUGGCGAAGGCGGGUCUCUGGGCCGAUACUGACGCUGAGGAGCGAAAGCGUGGGGAGCGAACAGGAUUAGAUACCCUGGUAGUCCACGCCGUAAACGUUGGGCGCUAG